RNAcentral lists this ribosomal RNA (326 nucleotides) under uncultured eukaryote. RNAcentral describes it as "partial 18S ribosomal RNA". It matches the Rfam family "Eukaryotic small subunit ribosomal RNA", at positions 1470 to 1796 of the family's 1831-position model. The record is from RNAcentral.
CCCUUAGAUGUUCUGGGCCGCACGCGCGCUACACUGAUGCAUUCAACGAGUCCAACCUUGACCGAGAGGUCCGGGUAAUCUUUGAAACUGCAUCGUGAUGGGGCUAGAUUAUUGCAAUUAUUAAUCUUCAACGAGGAAUGCCUAGUAAGCGUGAUUCAUCAAAUCGCGUUGAUUACGUCCCUGCCCUUUGUACACACCGCCCGUCGCUCCUACCGAUUGAGUGUGUUGGUGAGGAGUUUGGAUUGGCCUCGGAAGGUGGUUCGCCACCGUCCGUAGCUGAGAAGUUCUCCACACCGCCCCACUUAGAGGAAGGAGAAGUCGUAACA